RNAcentral lists this ribosomal RNA (450 nucleotides) under uncultured bacterium. RNAcentral describes it as "partial 16S ribosomal RNA". It matches the Rfam family "Bacterial small subunit ribosomal RNA", at positions 354 to 796 of the family's 1533-position model. The record is from RNAcentral.
GUGGGGAAUCUUCCGCAAUGGACGAAAGUCUGACGGAGCAACGCCGCGUGAGUGAUGAAGGUCUUCGGAUUGUAAAGCUCUGUUAAUCGGGACGAAAGAGCCUAGUGUGAAUAAUGCUAGGAAGUAACGGUACCGGAAUAGAAAGCCACGGCUAACUACGUGCCAGCAGCCGCGGUAAUACGUAGGUGGCAAGCGUUGUCCGGAAUUAUUGGGCGUAAAGCGCGCGCAGGCGGAUCUGCCAGUCUGUCUUAAAAGUUCGGGGCUUAACCCCGUGAUGGGAUGGAAACUACAGAUCUAGAGUAUCGGAGAGGAAAGUGUAAUUCCUAGUGUAGCGGUGAAAUGCGUAGAUAUUAGGAAGAACACCAGUGGCGAAGGCGACUUUCUGGACGAAAACUGACGCUGAGGCGCGAAAGCCAGGGGAGCGAACGGGAUUAGAAACCCCAGUAGUCC